This 338-nucleotide ribosomal RNA is filed under the name uncultured Bacteroidales bacterium. RNAcentral describes it as "bacterial SSU rRNA". It matches the Rfam family "Bacterial small subunit ribosomal RNA", at positions 22 to 359 of the family's 1533-position model. The record is from RNAcentral. Lineage: Bacteria; Pseudomonadati; Bacteroidota; Bacteroidia; Bacteroidales.
GCUCAGGAUGAACGCUAGCUACAGGCUUAACACAUGCAAGUCGAGGAGUAGCAGGGUAGCAAUACCGCUGACGACCGGCGCACGGGUGAGUAACACGUAUCCAACCUUCCCAUAACUCAGGGAUAGCCUUUCGAAAGAAAGAUUAAUACCUGAUAGUACUUAAGAAAGGCAUCUUUUUUAAGUUAAAGAUUUAUUGGUUAUGGAUGGGGACGCGUUCCAUUAGAUAGUUGGUGAGGUAACGGCUCACCAAGUCUUCGAUGGAUAGGGGUUCUGAGAGGAAGGUCCCCCACAUUGGUACUGAGACACGGACCAAACUCCUACGGGAGGCAGCAGUGAGG